Molecule: ribosomal RNA, 440 nt
Filed under: uncultured bacterium
Lineage: Bacteria
Description: partial 16S ribosomal RNA
Rfam family: Bacterial small subunit ribosomal RNA
Source: RNAcentral
CCUACGGGCGGCAGCAGUGGGGAAUAUUGCACAAUGGGGGAAACCCUGAUGCAGCGACGCCGCGUGAGUGAAGAAGUAUCUCGGUACGUAAAGCUCUAUCAGCAGGGAAGAAAAUGACGGUACCUGACUAAGAAGCCCCGGCUAACUACGUGCCAGCAGCCGCGGUAAUACGUAGGGGGCAAGCGUUAUCCGGAUUUACUGGGUGUAAAGGGAGCGUAGACGGCGGUACAAGUCUGGAGUGAAAGCCCGGGGCUUAACCCCGGUACUGCUUUGGAAACUGUGGGGCUGGAGUGCGGGAGGGGCAGGCGGAAUGCCUAGUGUAGCGGUGAAAUGCGUAGAUAUUAGGAGGAACACCGGCGGCGAAGGCGGCCUACUGGACCGUAACUGACGUUGAGGCUCGAAAGCGUGGGGAGCAAACAGGAUUAGAUACCCUUGUAGUC